AACUUUCGGCAACGGAUCACUUGGUUCUGGCAUCGAUGAAGAACGCAGCGAAAUGCGAUAAGUAAGGCGAAUUGCAGAAUUCCGUGAGUCAUCGAAUCUUUGAACGCACAUUGCGCCCUUUGGUAUUCCGAAGGGCAUGCCUGUUCGAGCGUCAUUAUCAACCCUCAAGCCCGGCUUGGUGUUGGAUCCCGCCGGGGGUAAACUCCGGCGGACCUCAAAGGUAAUGGCAGACCCCGUGUGGACCCUGGAUGCAGCGAGCUUUUUGGCACGCGUCGCGGUGGUCCUCCGGCUCGGUCUUGAAUAACAUUUUUUACACUGGUUGACCUCGGAUCAGGUAGGGAUACCCGCUGAACUUAAGCAUAUCAAUAAGCGGAGG
This 376-nucleotide unclassified non-coding RNA is filed under the name uncultured Agonimia. RNAcentral's name for it is "sequence contains ITS2". The stretch from base 1 to 154 matches the Rfam family "5.8S ribosomal RNA". Lineage: Eukaryota; Fungi; Ascomycota; Eurotiomycetes; Verrucariales. The record is from RNAcentral.